UGACGCUGGCGGCAUGCCUAACACAUGCAAGUCGAACGAAGGCUUCGGCCUUAGUGGCGCACGGGUGCGUAACGCGUGGGAAUCUGCCCUCAGGUUCGGAAUAACAGCGAGAAAUUCGCUGCUAAUACCGGAUGAUAUCGCGAGAUCAAAGAUUUAUCGCCUGAGGAUGAGCCCGCGUAGGAUUAGCUAGUUGGUGUGGUAAAGGCGCACCAAGGCGACGAUCCUUAGCUGGUCUGAGAGGAUGAUCAGCCACACUGGGACUGAGACACGGCCCAGACUCCUACGGGAGGCAGCAGUGGGGAAUAUUGGACAAUGGGCGAAAGCCUGAUCCAGCAAUGCCGCGUGAGUGAUGAAGGCCUUAGGGUUGUAAAGCUCUUUUACCCGGGAUGAUAAUGACAGUACCGGGAGAAUAAGCUCCGGCUAACUCCGUGCCAGCAGCCGCGGUAAUACGGAGGGAGCUAGCGUUUAUUCGGAAUUACUGGGCGUAAAGCCGCACGUAGGCCGCUUUGUAAGUUUAGAAGGUGAAAGCCUGGAACUCAACUCCCGAAUUGGCUUUUAAAACGGCUCGCUUGGAUCCCGGGAGAGGGGAGUGGAAAUUCCAGUGGAAGAAGGGAAAUUCCCGAAAAUUUUCCGAAGAACCCCCAUGGGCGAAGGCGCGGCUUCAUGGGACUGGGUAUAUGAG
This 682-nucleotide ribosomal RNA is filed under the name uncultured Sphingomonas sp. RNAcentral's name for it is "bacterial SSU rRNA". It matches the Rfam family "Bacterial small subunit ribosomal RNA", at positions 31 to 750 of the family's 1533-position model. The record is from RNAcentral. Lineage: Bacteria; Pseudomonadati; Pseudomonadota; Alphaproteobacteria; Sphingomonadales; Sphingomonadaceae.